CUGAUAAGCUACUUCAGAAAAGUCUCAGGAUACAAAAUCAAGAUGCAAAAAUUACAAGCAUUCCUAUACAGCAAUAACAGACAAACAGAGAGUCAAACUAUGAGUGAACUCCCAUACACAAUCGCUUCGGUCACAAACAAAUGGAAAAACAUUCCAUGCUCAUGGAUAGGAAGAAUCAAUAUCAUGAAAAUGGCCAUACUGCCCAAAGUAAUUUACAGAUUCAAUGCUAUCCCCAUCAAGCUACCAUUGACUUUCUUCACAGAAUUGGAAAAAAUUACUUUGAAUUGCAUAUGAAACAAAAAAAGAGCCUGCAU
This 314-nucleotide long non-coding RNA is filed under the name Pan troglodytes (chimpanzee). Its description in RNAcentral is "long non-coding RNA NONPTRT012810". The record is from RNAcentral. Lineage: Eukaryota; Metazoa; Chordata; Mammalia; Primates; Hominidae.